UGACGUUCCUUUUUAGCUAGUGGCGAACGGGUGAGUAAUAUUUAGGUAACCUACCCUUUAGGCUGGGAUAACUUUCCGAAAGGGAAGCUAAUACCAGAUACUCUCUUCUUUUUGCAUAAAAGGAAGAGGAAAGAUUUAUCGCUAAAGGAGGGGCCUAACUCUGAUUAUGCUUGUUGGUGGGGUAAUGGCCUACCAAGGCUUCUAUCAGUAGCUGGUCUGAGAGGAUGUACAGCCACAUUGGGACUGACACACGGCCCACACUCCUACGGGAGGCAGCAGUGGGGAAUAUUGCGCAGUGGGCGAAAGCCUGACGCAGCGACGCCGCGUGAGUGAAGAAGUCUUUAGAGAUGUAAAUCUCAGUCAAGAGGGAAGAUUAUGACGGUACCUCUAGAGGAAGCCCCGGCUAACUACGUGCCAGCAGCCGCGGUAAUACGUAGGGGGCAAGCGUUAUCCGGAUUUAUUGGGCAUAAAGAGCAUGUAUGUGGUAUCUUAAGUCA
Molecule: ribosomal RNA, 497 nt
Filed under: uncultured bacterium
Lineage: Bacteria
Description: bacterial SSU rRNA
Rfam family: Bacterial small subunit ribosomal RNA
Source: RNAcentral